UGGCUCAGAUUGAACGCUGGCGGCAGGCCUAACACAUGCAAGUCGAACGGUAACAGGAAGCAGCUUGCUGCUUUGCUGACGAGUGGCGGACGGGUGAGUAAUGUCUGGGAAACUGCCUGAUGGAGGGGGAUAACUACUGGAAACGGUGGCUAAUACCGCAUAACGUCGCAAGACCAAAGAGGGGGACCUUCGGGCCUCUUGCCAUCAGAUGUGCCCAGAUGGGAUUAGCUUGUUGGUGAGGUAACGGCUCACCAAGGCGACGAUCCCUAGCUGGUCUGAGAGGAUGACCAGCCACACUGGAACUGAGACACGGUCCAGACUCCUACGGGAGGCAGCAGUGGGGCAUAUUGCACAAUGGGCGCAAUCCUGAUGCAGCCAUGCCGCGUGUAUGAAGAAGGCCUUCGGGUUGUAAAGUACUUUCAGCGGGGAGGAAGGUGUUGCGGUUAAUAACCGCAGCAAUUGACGUUACCCGCAGAAGAAGCACCGGCUAACUCCGUGCCAGCAGCCGCGGUAAUACGGAGGAUGCGAGCGUUAAUCGGAAUUACUGGGCGUAAAGCGCACGCAGGCGGUCUGUCAAGUCGGAUGUGAAAUCCCCGGGCUCAACCUGGGAACUGCAUUCGAAACUGGCAGGCUUGAGUCUUGUAGAGGGGGGUAGAAUUCCAGGUGUAGCGGUGAAAUGCGUAGAGAUCUGGAGGAAUACCGGUGGCGAAGGCGGCCCCCUGGACAAAGACUGACGCUCAGGUGCGAAAGCGUGGGGAGCAAACAGGAUUAGAUACCCUGGCAGUCCACGCCGUAAACGAUGUCUACUUGGAGGUUGUGCCCUUGAGGCGUGGCUUCCGGAGCUAACGCGUUAAGUAGACCGCCUGGGGAGUACGGCCGCAAGGUUAAAACUCAAAUGAAUUGACGGGGGCCCGCACAAGCGGUGGAGCAUGUGGUUUAAUUCGAUGCAACGCGAAGAACCUUACCUGGUCUUGACAUCCACAGAAGAAUCCAGAGAUGGAUUUGUGCCUUCGGGAACUGUGAGACAGGUGCUGCAUGGCUGUCGUCAGCUCGUGUUGUGAAAUGUUGGGUUAAGUCCCGCAACGAGCGCAACCCUUAUCCUUUGUUGCCAGCGAUUAGGUCGGGAACUCAAAGGAGACUGCCAGUGAUAAACUGGAGGAAGGUGGGGAUGACGUCAAGUCAUCAUGGCCCUUACGACCAGGGCUACACACGUGCUACAAUGGCGCAUACAAAGAGAAGCGACCUCGCGAGAGCAAGCGGACCUCAUAAAGUGCGUCGUAGUCCGGAUUGGAGUCUGCAACUCGACUCCAUGAAGUCGGAAUCGCUAGUAAUCGUGGAUCAGAAUGCCACGGUGAAUACGUUCCCGGGCCUUGUACACACCGCCCGUCACACCAUGGGAGUGGGUUGCAAAAGAAGUAGGUAGCUUAACCUUCGGGAGGGCGCUUACCACUUUGUGAUUCAUGACUGAGGUGAAGUCGUAACAAGG
This 1486-nucleotide ribosomal RNA is filed under the name uncultured bacterium. Its description in RNAcentral is "16S ribosomal RNA". It matches the Rfam family "Bacterial small subunit ribosomal RNA". The record is from RNAcentral.